Molecule: transfer RNA, 62 nt
Filed under: Melolontha hippocastani
Lineage: Eukaryota; Metazoa; Arthropoda; Insecta; Coleoptera; Scarabaeidae
Description: tRNA-Cys
Source: RNAcentral
AGUCUUAUAAUUUAUUUAGAAUAUUAAAUUGCAAAUUUGAAAGUGGGUAGAACCUAAGGCUU